This 115-nucleotide ribosomal RNA is filed under the name Panthera tigris altaica (Amur tiger). The record is from RNAcentral. Lineage: Eukaryota; Metazoa; Chordata; Mammalia; Carnivora; Felidae.
GUCUAUGGCCCUACCACCCUGAACGCGCCCGAUCUCGUCUGAUCUCGGAAGCUAAGCAGGGUCGGGCCUGGUUAGUACUUGGGUGGGAAAUCGCUUUAGUAAGUCUUUAUUCACC